AGUUUGAGUUCUGGCUCAGGAGUGAACGCUGGCGGCGUGCUUAACACAUGCAAGUCGAACGGUGCUUAAUGAAACCUAGUGAUUUAAGCACAGUGGCGGACGGGUGAGUAACGCGUGGGUAACCUGCCGCAUGCAGGGGGACAACAGAGGGAAACUUCUGCUAAUACCGCAUAAGCGCACGGGAUCGCAUGAUCCAGUGUGAAAAGAUUUGUCGGCAUGCGAUGGACCCGCGUCUGAUUAGGCAGUUGGUGAGGUAACGGCCCACCAAACCUACGAUCAGUAGCCGGCCUGAGAGGGUGAACGGCCACAUUGGGACUGAGACACGGCCCAAACUCCUACGGGAGGCAGCAGUGGGGAAUAUUGCACAAUGGGGGGAAACCCUGAUGCAAGCGACGCCGCGUGAGUGAAGAAGCAUUUCGGUGCGUAAAGCUCUGUCAGCAGGAAAGAAAAUGACGGUACCUGACCAAGAAGCCCCGGCUAACUACGUGCCAGCCGCCGC
RNAcentral lists this ribosomal RNA (499 nucleotides) under uncultured bacterium. RNAcentral describes it as "bacterial SSU rRNA". It matches the Rfam family "Bacterial small subunit ribosomal RNA", at positions 10 to 518 of the family's 1533-position model. The record is from RNAcentral.